CCUACGGGUGGCAGCAGUAGGGAAUUUUCGUCAAUGGGCGCAAGCCUGAACGAGCAAUGCCGCGUGAACGAGGAAGGUCUUCGGUUCGUAAAGUUCUGUUGGCGGGGAAAAAGAGCGGAGAGAGGAAAUGCUUUCUGACUGAUAUUACCCUUCGAGGAAGUCACGGCUAACUACGUGCCAGCAGCUGCGGUAAUACGUAGGUGGCGAGCGUUAGCCGGAAUGAUGGGGGGUAAAGGGUGCGUAGGCGGACUGCUAGGCCUGGGGUGAAGGGUACCGGCUCAACCGGUACAGGCUCUGGAAACUGGCGGGAUAGAGGGAAGGAGAGGGCAGUGGAACUCCAUGUGUAGCGGUAAAAUGCGUAGAUAUAUGGAAGAACACCAGUGGCGAAGGCGGCCGCCUGGACUGUUACUGACGCUGAGGCACGAAAGCGUGGGGAGCAAAUAGGAUUAGAUACCCGUGUAGUC
This 464-nucleotide ribosomal RNA is filed under the name uncultured bacterium. Its description in RNAcentral is "partial 16S ribosomal RNA". It matches the Rfam family "Bacterial small subunit ribosomal RNA", at positions 338 to 795 of the family's 1533-position model. The record is from RNAcentral.